RNAcentral lists this ribosomal RNA (497 nucleotides) under uncultured bacterium. RNAcentral describes it as "partial 16S ribosomal RNA". It matches the Rfam family "Bacterial small subunit ribosomal RNA", at positions 28 to 507 of the family's 1533-position model. The record is from RNAcentral.
GACGAACGCUGGCGGCGUGCCUAAUACAUGCAAGUUGAGCGAUGAAGAUUGGUGCUUGCACCAAUUUGAAGAGCAGCGAACGGGUGAGUAACGCGUGGGGAAUCUGCCUUUGAGCGGGGGACAACAUUUGGAAACGAAUGCUAAUACCGCAUAACAACUUUAAACAUAAGUUUUAAGUUUGAAAGAUGCAAUUGCAUCACUCAAAGAUGAUCCCGCGUUGUAUUAGCUAGUUGGUGAGGUAAAGGCUCACCAAGGCGAUGAUACAUAGCCGACCUGAGAGGGUGGUCGGCCACAUUGGGACGGAGACACGGCCCAAACUCCUACGGGAGGCAGUAGUAGGGAAUCUUCGGCAAUGGACGAAAGUCUGACCGAGCAACGCCGCGUGAGUGAAGAAGGUUGUCGGAUCGUAAAACUCUGUUGGUAGAGAAGAACGUUGGUGAGAGUGGAAAGCUCAUCAAGUGACGGUAACUACCCAGAAAGGGACGGCUAACUACGUG